GAUGAAGAACGUAGCGAAAUGCGAUAAGUAAUGUGAAUUGCAGAAUUCAGUGAAUCACCGAAUCUUUGAACGCACAUUGCGCCCGCCAGUAUUCUGGCGGGCAUGCCUGUUCGAGCGUCAUUUCAACCAUCAAGCCCCCGGCUUGUGUUGGGGACCUGCGGCUGCCGCAGGCCCUGAAAACCAGUGGCGGGCUCGCUAGUCACUCCGAGCGUAGUAAUACAUCUCGCUCAGGGCGUGCUGCGGGUUCCGGCCGUUAAAAAGCCUUAUUUACCCAAGGUUGACCUCGGAUCAGGUAGGAAGACCCGCUGAACUUAAGCAUAUCAAUAAGCGGAGGA
Molecule: unclassified non-coding RNA, 335 nt
Filed under: soil metagenome
Description: partial contains 5.8S ribosomal RNA, internal transcribed spacer 2, and large subunit ribosomal RNA
Rfam family: 5.8S ribosomal RNA (bases 1-120)
Source: RNAcentral